This 352-nucleotide ribosomal RNA is filed under the name uncultured bacterium. Its description in RNAcentral is "bacterial SSU rRNA". It matches the Rfam family "Bacterial small subunit ribosomal RNA", at positions 917 to 1271 of the family's 1533-position model. The record is from RNAcentral.
GGGCCCGCACAAGCGGUGGAGCAUGUGGUUUAAUUCGAUGAUACGCGAGGAACCUUACCAGGGCUUAAAUGUAAGUUGCAUUAGUUAGAGAUAGCUAUUUCUUCGGACUACUUACAAGGUGCUGCAUGGUUGUCGUCAGCUCGUGCCGUGAGGUGUCAGGUUAAGUCCUAUAACGAGCGCAACCCCUGUUGUUAGUUGCCAUCGAGUCAUGUCGGGAACUCUAAGGAGACUGCCGAUGACAAAUCGGAGGAAGGUGGGGACGACGUCAAGUCAUCAUGGCCCUUACGUGUAGGGCUACACACGUGCUACAAUGGCCGGUACAAACGGUUGCGAACCCGCGAGGGGAAGCUAA